Molecule: long non-coding RNA, 1925 nt
Filed under: Sorghum bicolor (sorghum)
Lineage: Eukaryota; Viridiplantae; Streptophyta; Magnoliopsida; Poales; Poaceae
Description: long non-coding RNA (SBIC_LNC017066)
Source: RNAcentral
AGGAUUUGGAGGAAUGUGAAGAUGCCACUUAAAGUGCUAUUGACUUGAUCUUGCCCUUCUUGAAUAGUGGCCAAUGUCUGAGUGGUGUUUUGGUUCCACUAACGCUGGUCAUUCCAAUUCUGCUCAUUGUGAGCAAGAGAAGCGUGGAUGUAGUUUUAGAAUGCUAUUUGUUCAUUAUAAUGCUGCUGGGUAUAGAAAAACCCAGAAGCAUCAGACCUGAGUCCUUGCUCAAAGUCUUGUUCCUCAUCUUCUGUCCUCUCACCAUAGGUACUAAAUGAAUGUCUUGGUGCUUCACCUGAGGGACCUUCCCCUGUAGGGAUGAAUGUUGGUGGCUGGUAGUACCCAUAUGGAUGGUAGGCAGGAUGGAACGGGGGAUACAUCCUAAGGUUCAGUGGGCGGCGCUGGCGUGCCUGCCAUUCAUCAUAACUGGUGUGCACUGGUGCUUCAUGAGUGGGGUCAGCUCUGAGCCAGACUGGUUCGUGUUGACAAGCAAACCUUUCAAAGGUUGUCCUCUGAGGUGCCCUCUCAAAAGUUUCUCCCUAAGCUCCUCUCUUGUUCAUCGUCGUGCCUAAAACUUAAUGUGCAAUGUUUCGACAGAAUACAAUGCCAUCUCCGGGUUAGCUAACCAGAGCUUGGUGUCCCUAUAAGUCAUAUAUAAAUCCCCUUUUAUUUUCUUCACUAGGUGCACAUGAUUGAAAUGCUCAUAAAUUUAUCUAUGUGUAUCGAUGAAAUCCAAAGAGGCACCCUCAAUUAAUUUAAGCUUAAAGGCCAAGUGAGUAACAAUGGAACAGAUUGCCACAUCUCCUACUUUAUAGUCAGGAAUGCUUAACCAGUGAUCUACUAAAGUAUGUACAGGUGACAUUCUUAUUUUCUUAACUGCUGCAUAAAUCAAUUGUAAAUCUAUGGCUCUGAUUUUGCUAGCAUCAUCUCAGGGGAAGAAAGUUGUACCCUACCACUUAUGCAAGAACCUAAGUGUAGGGUGCUCUAUAUCCCGGGUACCUUUUUCCAUGGAAGAAAGGCUCUUUAGAAAUCUCAAUCCAAAAUUUAUGCGUAUCAAAAUCUUUUAAAGCUUCUUUUAAGUCUACACAUGCAUUUAUAGGAAAGCCUAAAAGAUCACUAAGAUUUCUCCAUGUUAGACAGAAUUCUUGGGUAAACAAUCUAAAAUAAACUCCUAUCUGGGUGAGUUGAAGGGUGCAAAGGAAUUCUAUAGUUAAAAGCUUGGACCUUAACUCAGUAAUAGUUGCAAAAGAACUCCAACCAACAAACUAGAAAAUAGUAUCGAGUUCAGUUGCCAUACCUAUUUCGUAGAGGAAUACCUCGUCUAGGACUAGCGUGUGAACGAAGCUCUUGUUCUUCAGUUUGUUGUAGAUGUUCUUUUGUCUCAAAUCUCUCAAGGAAAGGUGAGUUGCUAUGAGGAGAACCCUUUGUGGUGCAGCAGAAGAGAAACCUGGCUGGGGGAUAGUGGGAGGAUCGGUGCUCAUGUCGGAGUCGGCUCUUGAUGAAGCGUAUCGAGAUGAGCACCUUGUCGUCAUUCCUGUGACCUUGUUCGCGAUUCCCUUUACCCAGCUCUUCAUCCUGCAAAAAAAUGCUUAGAAACAAAAACAACACUAGUGCAAGGGAUUAGUGAUGGUCAGCCAUCCGGAGGUUAGUCGUUCUUCCCAGAUUAUCUCUAGUUUCUAGUUUGGAUUUUGGCAGAACCUCGCCUUGAUUUUAGAAUUCUUAAACCCAGUUGGACAACACUCCACUAAUUUCUCUAUGAAUUUCUUGCAACACUACUCUUCUCACACUAGCCCUUGAGCUCUUGAUCACUCUCCUUAGUUCCCACCCUCUUCUCUACUCUUUCUAUGCUUUCCUUCUCUCCCAAACUCUCUCUGGACACUUAGAGGCUGAGAGCAAGAUGUUUGUCUACUGAAACUAGUCAUGUG